GACGAAGGUGGCAAGCGUUGUUCGGAAUCACUGGGCGUAAAGAGUUCGUAGGCGGCCAAGUCAGUCAGGUGUGAAAUCCCUCGGCUCAACUGGGGAAUGGCGCCUGAUACUGCUUGGCUUGAGGGCAGGAGGGGAGAGUGGAAUUCCUGGUGUAGCGGUGAAAUGCGUAGAUAUCAGGAGGAACGCCGGUGGCGAAAGCGACUCUCUGGACUGCUUCUGACGCUGAGGAACGAAAGCCAGGGGAGCAAACGGG
This 253-nucleotide ribosomal RNA is filed under the name uncultured bacterium. RNAcentral's name for it is "partial 16S ribosomal RNA". It matches the Rfam family "Bacterial small subunit ribosomal RNA", at positions 524 to 776 of the family's 1533-position model. The record is from RNAcentral.